Molecule: non-coding RNA, 1617 nt
Organism: Manis javanica (Malayan pangolin)
Lineage: Eukaryota; Metazoa; Chordata; Mammalia; Pholidota; Manidae
Source: RefSeq, a predicted model, not a curated record
GCCACCCAGCCCAAAGUGUCCAUGGCACCAAGAUGGAGAAGGCCAGAUACUUAUUAUUACUCUUACCAUUAUCUUUAUAGUAGCAAUUCAUUUUAUUUUGUGCUGCAUUAUUAAAAAUGCCCACUUUUUGGAGAGAGGCUUCCUGAUAGACAUUGCCCAGAAAGCCAGUAUCAGAGUUAACUUCUAAAACAGAACAAGCUGUCACCCAGGCUGAAAAAAACAUGUCAGACAGUCUGUGAAUAGAUGUUACUUCCUGCGCACAUGCAUGAGAUGCUGGCAGCCAUGUGUCAUGGCAGAGAAUUUUGGGGGCCUCAGUGGGACAGUCCCUGCAGACCCCCGGUUAGUUACUCUGGCUUUCCUUCUUCAUAUUGAGAAGGGUGCAUCUCUAAAUAGGAUAAACAGAUUUUUAAAAAAUUAAAACAACAUUGUAAAGCCUGGUUUCCCUGCUUCAGAUUGCAAUAUGCAUCAACAUGACAUAUAGUUCUCAAAAUGAUGUUGAAAUUAAGAAUUUUACAUGUUGUAUCUGUGGGGGGUCAAGAUGUGGAGGCCUUUUCCCACCAAACAGAAGCAUAUCACCUUUCCCUUUUUAUUUCUGUAUCUUCUCUUUUCCUAACAUUUUAAUGACAGCAUUAUUUUUAAGUUCAGGCAUCUACAUAGAGGGUCCAGGUCUAGGAAGGAGUGAGCUCUUGAGGCAGGGCUACUGCAGGUCUUGGGAGACACCCUGAUGUUGGUUGAAUGAUGGGAUACCUACCGGAUGCUGGGCAGUGGUACAGAGGGGGGAGGCCCACUGGAGAGGAGAGGGUGGUAGCACUCAAGGCCCACAGCAGUGAGCACCUGCUGUGGGGUGGCUGGGCUGGUGUGCCACGUAGAGCCGUGACCUCCUUUCAUCAUAGAAACUGUCCCUUUCUAGAUGAGGAGACCUUUGGGAUCUCAGCCCCAGGACCUACAGACAGUGGGUGGUGAAGUCGAGGUUCAAGCUGUGACCCUGCCUCCCGCCACCACGGCCAGAUCACAGCAUUCUUAGGAACCUCCUGGGCUUGGCCUGUGUCCCAUCAGCAGUGAGCUCACUCCCGUGACAUGUAUCUGGUUUUCGAGAUGAGCCUUUGGCAGCAAGUGGGGGUGGCCCCUCGUGACUAGCAGAUUGCAUUGGUGAGGCGGAAGCAGCAAGGCAGAGUUUCUGGUGUUCCUGGGUUGCUCUGGAUCUCUCCGCAGCCAGUGAGAGACUGGGAAGGCCAAACCCCAGGAAUGAGGAGGUGCUUCGGGGCAGACAACUGUGGACACUUCAGGAGUGACGGCAGUUAAACGGAGCCACAGAAUUCCUGGCAUGUGUAAUGCACUUCGCCUCAGCCCUGCUUCCUGACUGCGCACACAUGUUAUGUAACGAGCAUGUAGCAAGAACCAAGCCAAGACUGAGAUCCAGUUGAACUGAGAUGGUGCUGACUCCAUGUCUCCCCCGUCCCCUUUAACCCUGGUGUCAGCCUCCUUCCCUGUGGGAGGGUCUUUUCAGAUCUGCUGCUGUCUGCAAGGCAUUCCCUCCCUCGCAGUCAACUCUGCUUUGUAAACAUCUGAUGUUAAGUUUGUGUUUGGAGGAACUUUAUUAAAUAAAUUCUUGAAUUA